Molecule: RNA transcript, 1573 nt
Organism: Piliocolobus tephrosceles (Ugandan red Colobus)
Lineage: Eukaryota; Metazoa; Chordata; Mammalia; Primates; Cercopithecidae
Exons: 2
Source: RefSeq, a predicted model, not a curated record
CCCCUGCUAUCUUCUGCAAGGAGCUACCAGCCAUCUACUGGGCUCAUCGGCCUGCCCCAGCUGCAGGCCCGGUGCUACACGGGCUCGGGAACAGAACAUCGUGAGCACGCGCAGAGCGUGCCCAUCUGUGGCAGGCUCUUCAGCUCCCCUUUCUGCUUCUGGAAACCUCUGCCCCUGCUGCCGCCCUGGCCCUGCCUACCUGCGCACGCGCCGUCCCCAGGGCUGACCCAGUGUGGCUGCAUUCGCUGGGAGGGGGCUGCCCUCACUGGGCCUCUCCCACUCUGCUGCCUGUUCCUGCAGCUCCUUCCUGCAAAGCCGGAGGGGACUUUCUGCUGCAAGGGAGGAACACAAGUAUUAUGGACACACUUGACCGUAAAGGCACAGGAGCCUCGGAACAAGGGGGCGCAAUAAAGGGAAUGCCCUAUCCCCCUCCAGAGCCAGCCCAAAGAAGCCUGGGGCGUCCUCCAUGAGGGGGCGAUGAGGGGUGGGCAGCCUAGGGGAGGCUUUCCUCGCAAGCACAGAGCUCUGAGGCUCAGCCCCCUGGCACAGGCGGUCACACGCCUAGACGGUUCCUGCUCCUUGGCACCUUCCGUGCAGUUCCUAGUGCCCUGGGAGGUCACACUGCCCAUCGGACCAUGGCAUGCUCUGUUCAGCUGACCUGCUGAGGACAGGCGCCGCCGAGACUCCUUGGGUCCUCCCCGCCCGCCCUCAUGCUGCCAUGAGCUGCUGCUCCGAGGCCUGGCCACAUGCAGACAGGAGGAAGCUGAGCUCGACAUUGGGCCUCAAGGCUGCCAUGUGUCUCGUAGGGCCUGGCCUUGUGGGCAGGGGGCAGUCCUGUGCCUUGUGGGCCCUCAGCCUGUGAGGGUGGAGAGGCUGUCAGUGCCGUGGGUGCAUCACACACUUCUAGCAUCCUCUCCACCCUGCAUCCCCCAAAUGCUGCUUGCUGCCUGCCCUACACUCCGAUGCAGGGGUGGGGUGGGGGACAGGGGGAGGGUCCUAGCAGUGCCACCCUGCCCCAGCCUGAGGAGGAGGGAGGGGGAGGAACAACCCUGGGCAAACGGGGCCUCGGGGACUUGUGUCCUUCCUCCUCCAGAGCUGCCCAGCCGGGGGCUUUCAGGGUGCUGGGGCAGCCCCAGGUCCCCUCUUGACCUCAGCUGGGGCCAGGGGCCCUCAAAAUGAAGGCAGGCCCCAGGUAGGAGCAGCAUCCCCCUCCCUGACAAUGCUGGCCAGAGGGCCGUGCCAUGCUGACUGCCUGAACCUCUGCUGACCUGAUGGUGCUGGCGGGAGGGCCGCGCCAUGCUGACUGCCUGAACCUCUGCUGAGGCUGCCUGCCUGCCAGGCCCAGCUCAGCACCCUCUCCACUGCAAAUCAGCGGUGAUCAUGUGAUUUCUAUUUCUGCCCCACAGGGUAAGGGAUGAGUCUUCUGGAAGCCUCUGCCAUGGACAUUUGUCCUCGGGCUCAGAGGCCUUACCCUGCCCCACGCCUGCCCCUAAUCACUGCAGUGUCCAGCCCAGUGUUGAACAGAUUGUAGCGUUCUGUCUCAUUAUGAGCAAAUACAUAGACUUUCACUGGA